AAAAAUGCUAUGACAAGAAAUAGUAGCAUAAGAUAAACUGACAGAGAGGGAUCCUCAAGGCUGAAAAGGAUCUUCAGUGUAACUUAUGUGAAUGCAUCUUUGAGCACUGCUUCGAAAUUUAGUAGACGGCAGCGGGUACGCCCGUUAAAGCGUUAGGAUAUGUCAGUAUCUGAUUUAAUAAGAUGCUAAGGUAUUUUAUACCUUUAGUAAUUAGAGUGGAACCGCGGAAUAAAACUUCUGCCUCUAUG
Molecule: non-coding RNA, 248 nt
Rfam family: T-box leader
About the family: Uncharged tRNA acts as the effector for transcription antitermination of genes in the T-box leader family.